Molecule: ribosomal RNA, 1554 nt
Filed under: Klebsiella planticola
Lineage: Bacteria; Pseudomonadati; Pseudomonadota; Gammaproteobacteria; Enterobacterales; Enterobacteriaceae
Description: bacterial SSU rRNA
Rfam family: Bacterial small subunit ribosomal RNA
Source: RNAcentral
ACUUAAAUUGAAGAGUUUGAUCAUGGCUCAGAUUGAACGCUGGCGGCAGGCCUAACACAUGCAAGUCGAGCGGUAGCACAGAGAGCUUGCUCUCGGGUGACGAGCGGCGGACGGGUGAGUAAUGUCUGGGAAACUGCCUGAUGGAGGGGGAUAACUACUGGAAACGGUAGCUAAUACCGCAUAACGUCGCAAGACCAAAGUGGGGGACCUUCGGGCCUCAUGCCAUCAGAUGUGCCCAGAUGGGAUUAGCUAGUAGGUGGGGUAAUGGCUCACCUAGGCGACGAUCCCUAGCUGGUCUGAGAGGAUGACCAGCCACACUGGAACUGAGACACGGUCCAGACUCCUACGGGAGGCAGCAGUGGGGAAUAUUGCACAAUGGGCGCAAGCCUGAUGCAGCCAUGCCGCGUGUAUGAAGAAGGCCUUCGGGUUGUAAAGUACUUUCAGCGAGGAGGAAGGCGUUAAGGUUAAUAACCUUAGCGAUUGACGUUACUCGCAGAAGAAGCACCGGCUAACUCCGUGCCAGCAGCCGCGGUAAUACGGAGGGUGCAAGCGUUAAUCGGAAUUACUGGGCGUAAAGCGCACGCAGGCGGUUUGUUAAGUCAGAUGUGAAAUCCCCGGGCUCAACCUGGGAACUGCAUUUGAAACUGGCAAGCUUGAGUCUUGUAGAGGGGGGUAGAAUUCCAGGUGUAGCGGUGAAAUGCGUAGAGAUCUGGAGGAAUACCGGUGGCGAAGGCGGCCCCCUGGACAAAGACUGACGCUCAGGUGCGAAAGCGUGGGGAGCAAACAGGAUUAGAUACCCUGGUAGUCCACGCUGUAAACGAUGUCGACUUGGAGGUUGUUCCCUUGAGGAGUGGCUUCCGGAGCUAACGCGUUAAGUCGACCGCCUGGGGAGUACGGCCGCAAGGUUAAAACUCAAAUGAAUUGACGGGGGCCCGCACAAGCGGUGGAGCAUGUGGUUUAAUUCGAUGCAACGCGAAGAACCUUACCUACUCUUGACAUCCAGAGAACUUAGCAGAGAUGCUUUGGUGCCUUCGGGAACUCUGAGACAGGUGCUGCAUGGCUGUCGUCAGCUCGUGUUGUGAAAUGUUGGGUUAAGUCCCGCAACGAGCGCAACCCUUAUCCUUUGUUGCCAGCGGUCCGGCCGGGAACUCAAAGGAGACUGCCAGUGAUAAACUGGAGGAAGGUGGGGAUGACGUCAAGUCAUCAUGGCCCUUACGAGUAGGGCUACACACGUGCUACAAUGGCAUAUACAAAGAGAAGCGACCUCGCGAGAGCAAGCGGACCUCAUAAAGUAUGUCGUAGUCCGGAUUGGAGUCUGCAACUCGACUCCAUGAAGUCGGAAUCGCUAGUAAUCGUAGAUCAGAAUGCUACGGUGAAUACGUUCCCGGGCCUUGUACACACCGCCCGUCACACCAUGGGAGUGGGUUGCAAAAGAAGUAGGUAGCUUAACCUUCGGGAGGGCGCUUACCACUUUGUGAUUCAUGACUGGGGUGAAGUCGUAACAAGGUAACCGUAGGGGAACCUGCGGUUGGAUCACCUCCUUACCUGAAAGAA